This is a long non-coding RNA of Sitophilus oryzae (rice weevil), 658 nucleotides long. RefSeq lists it as uncharacterized. Lineage: Eukaryota; Metazoa; Arthropoda; Insecta; Coleoptera; Curculionidae. The record is from RefSeq and is a predicted model, not a curated record. The transcript has 2 exons.
CUGCUUGUGGCUUGUGCUGCGUGUGGCUUGUGGGAAACUUCAUAAUAUUAAUGACAUUUCAAGAUUAUAAAAAGAAAAAGAUAAAUUCAGUUUUAAGGAUAUUUCAUAGGGAUUUUUUUAUUAAUUCAUUGAACGAAUAACUCUUAAACCUUAUUAAAAAUGGUGGACGUAUCACCCUUUUGGAAGUCUCCUUUUACCGAUCUAACUGGUUCAAUUCUUACUCAUCAAUUUUACGGGCCCUGUGCCGAUAUGGAGCUGAAAGCCGUAGAAUGUUUCGAUGCUUAUGGUUUAGAUAAAGGAUUGACAAAGUGUCAGGACUUGGUUCAUGAUUUUAGAGAAUGUGCUACACGUAACAAACAAGACGGUCGAAUAGUGGCAUUGAGGAGAGAGAGAGAUCGACAGAUAAAAAGUGGCGAACGUUCUAAAGAAAAUGCUUAUGCUCCAUCACCUGCACCUGACAGUUAUUGAUGUUUUUAUUAUGUUAUAGUUUUCAAAUAAAUUUAGUCGCUACUUUAUUCAAAUAAGGUUUUUGUUCUCGUGUAUUUUCUAAAUUAAGUUCUGUUAUGUAAGAGCUGUAUUGUCAUCUAAGAUUUAUAAUUAUGUAGUAAUGGCCAAACAUUUAUUUAAAUUUAUUAAAGUUUCUCUUAUUUGGCUGCCA